GUAAUAUACUUUAAGAAAAAGGUUUGAUUUGCAUUCAUUUAUUAAGGGGAACCCUUUAUUGCCUA
Molecule: transfer RNA, 65 nt
Filed under: Vema ewingi
Lineage: Eukaryota; Metazoa; Mollusca; Monoplacophora; Tryblidiida; Neopilinidae
Description: tRNA-Ala
Source: RNAcentral